RNAcentral lists this ribosomal RNA (301 nucleotides) under uncultured bacterium. RNAcentral describes it as "partial 16S ribosomal RNA". It matches the Rfam family "Bacterial small subunit ribosomal RNA", at positions 509 to 809 of the family's 1533-position model. The record is from RNAcentral.
CAGUCGCCGCGGGAAUACGGAGGGGGCUAGCGUUGUUCGGAUUUACUGGGCGUAAAGCGCACGUAGGCGGACUUUUAAGUCAGGGGUGAAAUCCCGGGGCUCAACCCCGGAACUGCCUUUGAUACUGGAAGUCUUGAGUAUGGUAGAGGUGAGUGGAAUUCCGAGUGUAGAGGUGAAAUUCGUAGAUAUUCGGAGGGACACCAGUGGCGAAGGCGGCUCACUGGACCAUUACUGACGCUGAGGUGCGAAAGCGUGGGGAGCAAACAGGAUUAGAUACCCCCGUAGUCCCUGUCUCUUAUAA